RNAcentral lists this microRNA precursor (294 nucleotides) under Paramuricea clavata. Lineage: Eukaryota; Metazoa; Cnidaria; Anthozoa; Malacalcyonacea; Plexauridae. The record is from RNAcentral.
GACGUCGAUAUUCGACGUCAUAAACACGAUCAACUUUGGUGUUUAUGACGUCGAUAUUCGACGUCAUAAACACGAUCAACUUUGGUGUUCAUGACGUCGAUAUUCGACGUCAUAAACACGAUCAACUUUGGUGUUCAUGACGUCGAUAUUCGACGUCAUAAACACGAUCAACUUUGUGUUGAUGACGUCGAUAUUCGACGUCAUAAACACGAUCAACUUUGGUGUUUAUGACGUCGAUAUUCCACGUCAUAAACACGAUCAACUUUGGUGUUUAUGACGUCGAUAUUCGACGUC